UAUUUCGUAAUGGGAUUAUUCAAAGUUAUACUAAAUGGCAUCAUCAUGGUGAAUUGUCAGAUGAAUCUAGUGAAAGUGAUGCGGAAGAUGUCAAUAUUCCUAUAGAUCAAGGCAGUAGAAAUAUGGAGACAAUGCUUGAGGACUUAUUUGGGCAUGUAGCGAACUCCUCAAAUACUAACACAAGUGAUGGAGAGUGUACUAAUCCUGAAGAUCCUAUUCCUGAAGCGCAAAAUUAUUAUCGAUUAUUAGAAGAAUGUAGACAAGAUAUAUAUCCGGGAUGCAAACGAUAUUCAACAUUAUCUUUUCUAGUACAUUUGUUGAAUCUCAAAUGUCUCAAUGGUUGGAC
This 346-nucleotide long non-coding RNA is filed under the name Ananas comosus (pineapple). RNAcentral describes it as "long non-coding RNA (ACOM_LNC018048)". The record is from RNAcentral. Lineage: Eukaryota; Viridiplantae; Streptophyta; Magnoliopsida; Poales; Bromeliaceae.